GGAAGUAAAAGUCGUAGCAAGGUCUCCGUUGGUGAACCAGCGGAGGGAUCAUUACCGAGUUUACAACUCCCAAACCCCUGUGAACAUACCUAUCGUUGCCUCGGCGGUGCCCGCUCCGGCGGCCCGCCAGGGGACCCCCAAACUCUUGUUUUAUACAGUAUCUUCUGAGUAACACGAUUAAAUAAAUCAAAACUUUCAACAACGGAUCUCUUGGUUCUG
This 219-nucleotide unclassified non-coding RNA is filed under the name plant metagenome. Its description in RNAcentral is "partial contains small subunit ribosomal RNA, internal transcribed spacer 1, and 5.8S ribosomal RNA". The stretch from base 1 to 54 matches the Rfam family "Eukaryotic small subunit ribosomal RNA", at positions 1778 to 1831 of the family's 1831-position model. The record is from RNAcentral.